Molecule: transfer RNA, 72 nt
Filed under: Cirroteuthis muelleri
Lineage: Eukaryota; Metazoa; Mollusca; Cephalopoda; Octopoda; Cirroteuthidae
Description: tRNA-Val
Source: RNAcentral
UGGGGAUUAACAUAAUUUUAAUGUAUUUCAUUUACAUUGAGAAAAUAAUUAUUUAUAUAUAAUUAUCCUUGA